UCCCAGUUCGGAUUGUAGGCUGCAACUCGCCUACAUGAAGUCGGAGUUGCUAGUAAUCGCGGAUCAGAAUGCCGCGGUGAAUGCGUUCCCGGGUCUUGUACACACCGCCCGUCACACCAUGGAAGUUGGGGCGCCGAAGUUGCCUAAGAAAUAAGGUACCUAAGGCGAAACCAAUGACUGGGUGAAGUCGUAACAAGGUAUC
This 202-nucleotide ribosomal RNA is filed under the name uncultured bacterium. RNAcentral's name for it is "partial 16S ribosomal RNA". It matches the Rfam family "Bacterial small subunit ribosomal RNA", at positions 1286 to 1500 of the family's 1533-position model. The record is from RNAcentral.